RNAcentral lists this ribosomal RNA (134 nucleotides) under uncultured bacterium. Its description in RNAcentral is "partial 16S ribosomal RNA". It matches the Rfam family "Bacterial small subunit ribosomal RNA", at positions 222 to 354 of the family's 1533-position model. The record is from RNAcentral.
CGGAUGGGCCAUGCGGCGCAUUAGCUAGUCGGCGGGGUAACGGCCCACCGAGGCGACGAUGCGUAGGGGUUCUGAGAGGAAGGUCCCCCACACUGGUACUGAGACACGGACCAGACUCCUACGGAAGGCAGCAG